Molecule: ribosomal RNA, 628 nt
Filed under: uncultured bacterium
Lineage: Bacteria
Description: bacterial SSU rRNA
Rfam family: Bacterial small subunit ribosomal RNA
Source: RNAcentral
GGAUCGCCCUUAGAGUUUGAUCAUGGCUCAGGACGAACGCUGGCGGCGUGCCUAACACAUGCAAGUCAAGGAGAAUUCCCGACUUGUCGGGAUAGUAAACUGACGAACGGGUGAGUAACACGUAGGUAAUCUACCCUCGGGAUGGGGAUAACUCGCCGAAAGGUGAGCUAAUACCGAAUAAAGUUCCGGUUUAGCUAAGUCGGAAUGAAAGGUGGGGACCUUCGGGCCUACUGCCUGAGGAUGAGCCUGCGACCCAUUAGCUAGUUGGUGAGGUAAUGGCUCACCAAGGCUACGAUGGGUAGCUGGUCUGAGAGGAUGAUCAGCCACAUUGGGACUGAGAUACGGCCCAAACUCCUACGGGAGGCAGCAGUGAGGAAUUUUGCGCAAUGGGCGAAAGCCUGACGCAGCAACGCCGCGUGACCGAUUAAGCUCUGAGGAGUGUAAAGGUCUGUCGCAGAGGAAGAAACCACCCGAUGAGAAUAUUGUCGGGUGUUGACGGUACUCUGUGAGAAAGCUCCGGCUAACUCCGUGCCAGCAGCCGCGGUAAUACGGGGGGAGCAAGCGUUGUCCGGAAUCACUGGGCGUAAAGAGCGUGUAGGUGUUCCAAUAAGUCUCUGUUGAAAUCCUU